Non-coding RNA from Tinamus guttatus (white-throated tinamou), 213 nucleotides. NCBI's taxonomy places the organism in Eukaryota, Metazoa, Chordata, Aves, Tinamiformes, Tinamidae. The record is from RefSeq and is a predicted model, not a curated record.
UUCGUGUAUUUUGCCGACCUGCUCAUCCCUGUGCUGGGUUUCAGCGGACCUCCCCACGCAGCCUUUGCCUUGAGCUGUGGCCCACGAGCAGUGAAGGAAAAAUAUGAGCACGAAGCCACCCACGAGCCGGAGUACGAGAGCGAGCUGUCCAUCCGGAUAGGUAGAGCUGGGCUCCAUCCAGACAAAGGGGAGAACGGGGAGCCCUACCAGCGG